Non-coding RNA from Caenorhabditis elegans, 21 nucleotides. The record is from Ensembl. Lineage: Eukaryota; Metazoa; Nematoda; Chromadorea; Rhabditida; Rhabditidae.
UCAAUAUUUACGUUGAUGCUU